Molecule: ribosomal RNA, 253 nt
Filed under: uncultured bacterium
Lineage: Bacteria
Description: partial 16S ribosomal RNA
Rfam family: Bacterial small subunit ribosomal RNA
Source: RNAcentral
UACAGAGGUCUCAAGCGUUGUUCGGAUUCAUUGGGCGUAAAGGGUGUGUAGGUGGCGCCGUAAGUCAGGUGUGAAAUCUCGGGGCUUAACUCCGAAACUGCAUUUGAUACUGCGGUGCUUGAGGACUGGAGAGGAGACUGGAAUUUAUGGUGUAGCAGUGAAAUGCGUAGAGAUCAUGAGGAAGACCAGUGGCGAAGGCGGGUCUCUGGGCCGAUACUGACGCUGAGGAGCGAAAGCGUGGGGAGCGAACAGG